RNAcentral lists this small nuclear RNA (191 nucleotides) under Tursiops truncatus (common bottlenose dolphin). RNAcentral describes it as "U2 spliceosomal RNA (ENSTTRG00000021758.1)". It matches the Rfam family "U2 spliceosomal RNA". From Rfam's summary of the family: U2 is a small nuclear RNA (snRNA) component of the spliceosome (involved in pre-mRNA splicing). Complementary binding between U2 snRNA (in an area lying towards the 5' end but 3' to hairpin I) and the branchpoint sequence (BPS) of the intron results the bulging out of an unpaired adenosine, on the BPS, which initiates a nucleophilic attack at the intronic 5' splice site, thus starting the first of two transesterification reactions that mediate splicing. RNAcentral also lists the same sequence under 1 other name. The record is from Rfam by way of RNAcentral. Lineage: Eukaryota; Metazoa; Chordata; Mammalia; Artiodactyla; Delphinidae.
AUCGCUUCUCGGCCUUUUGGCUAAGAUCAAGUGUAGUAUCUGUUCUUAUCAGUUUAAUAUCUGAUACGUCCUCUAUCCGAGGACAAUAUAUUAAAUGGAUUUUUGGAGCUGGGAGUCGGAAUAGGAGCUUGCUCUGUCCGCUCCACGCAUCGACCUGGUAUUGCAGUAUCUCCAGGAAUGGUGCACUUCCC